AACGAACGCUGGCGGCGUGGCUAAGGCAUGCAAGUCGAACGGAUGCACUCUGCGGGUAACCAAGGGGUGCGUUAGUGGCGAACGGGUGAGGGAUACAUGGAUAACGUACCCUGGGCUCGGGAAUAGCGGCGGAGCUUCGGUUCCUUUGCGAAAGUGCCGGUAAUACCCAAUGAUCCCGCAGAAUCGCAUGAUUUUGCGGGCAAAAGCUCCCGGUCUGGGAUCGGUUCAUGUCCUAUCAGCUUGUUGGUGGGGUAACGGCCCACCAAGGCUGUAACGGGUACCGGGCGUGAGAGCGUGGCCCGGCACAUCGGAACUGAGACACGGCCCGGACACCUACGGGUGGCUGCAGCAACGAAUAUUCCGCAAUGGACGAAAGUCUGACGGAGCGACGCCGCGUGCAGGAGGAAGUCCCUCGGGAUGUAAACUGCUGUCAGGGGUUAGGAAUUCAUGACCAGCCCCAAAGGAAGCACUGGCUAACUCCGUGCCAGCAGCCGCGGUAAUACGGAGAGUGCAAGCGUUGUUCGGAAUUACUGGGCUUAAAGCGCGUGUAGGCGGAGUAUCAGGUGCCGUGUGAAAGCCCCGGGCCCAACCCGGGAAGGGCACGGCAAACCGGUACUCUUGAGGCAGGCAGAGGUGACUGGAACGACCGGUGGAGCGGUGAAAUGCGUAGAUAUCGGUUGGAACGCCAGAGGCGAAAGCGGGUCACUGGGUCUGUCCUGACGCUGAGACGCGAAAGCGUGGGUAGCGAACAGGAUUAGAUACCCUGGUAGUCCACGCCGUAAACGAUGCGCACUAGGUAUGAGAGGUUCUGACGCCGAUCGUGCCGAAGCAAAAGUGAUAAGUGCGCCGCCUGGGGAGUACGGCCGCAAGGCUAAAACUCAAAGGAAUUGACGGGGGCUCACACAAGCGGUGGAGCAUGUGGAUUAAUUCGAAGCAACGCGCAGAACCCUACCUGGGUUUGACAUGCACGGAUGCUCUUCUGGAAACAGGAGCAGGCUGCCUUCGGGUGAAACGUGCACAGGUGCUGCAUGGCUGUCGUCAGCUCGUGCUGUGAAGUGUCGGGUUAAGUCCCUUAACGAGCGAAACCCCUAUCGUUAGUUGCCAGCGGGUUAUGCCGGGGACUCUAGCGAGACCGCCGGCGUCAAGCCGGAGGAAGGUGGGGACGACGUCAAGUCAUCAUGGCCUUUAUGCCCAGGGUGUCUCACGUGCUACAAUGGUCGGUACAGAGCGACGCGAUACUGUGAAGUGGAGCAAAUCGCAGAAAGCCGGCCUCAGUUCGGAUUGGAGUCUGCAACUCGACUCCAUGAAGUUGGAAUCGCUAGUAAUCGCGUAUCAGCCACGACGCGGUGAAUGUGUUCCUGAGCCUUGUACACACCGCCCGUCAAGUCAUGGAAGCCGGGAGUACCCGAAGUCCGUUUAGCUAACCGCAAGGGGGCGGCGGUCGACGGUAAGACUGGGACUGGUGACUGGGACU
RNAcentral lists this ribosomal RNA (1474 nucleotides) under uncultured prokaryote. RNAcentral describes it as "partial 16S ribosomal RNA". It matches the Rfam family "Bacterial small subunit ribosomal RNA". The record is from RNAcentral.